This 89-nucleotide unclassified non-coding RNA is filed under the name Pseudomonas sp. Z003-0.4C(8344-21). The record is from RNAcentral. Lineage: Bacteria; Pseudomonadati; Pseudomonadota; Gammaproteobacteria; Pseudomonadales; Pseudomonadaceae.
UGUGGGAGCUGGCUUGCCAGUGAUGGCGUCGGCACAGGCAGAAUCAUUCUGGCUGAUCUACCGCUAUCGCUGGCAAGCCAGCUCCCACA